AUCCUCCCAACAACGGGGUGAAAUAGGCCUUACUUGCCCCCAUUUUAUAGCUGAGGAAACUGAGUUUCAGAGAGGUCAAGUAAUUCACUCAGGAUCGUAGAGCUGAUAAAUGAGAGCCAGGUUUUAAGCCUGCCUGUGUCUCUCUAAUCCAAAAUAUAUGUGCUCUCCAUUGUACUUCCUAUGCCUUAGAGAGACUGAUUAGUGAAAGGGAAACUAGGAAAUGCUUGAGUAUUUCCAGUCCUAAUAAUAUUCAGUUCAAAUUCCAGGAAGGGCAGUGAUUUUCAACCUUCUUAACUUUUCUGUUUUAAAUCUGCAAAAGAAAACCUGCCACAGACCAGAAAGGAGAAAGUUCCCCCUAAAUUGUGUCAAUCUUUGCAGAUAAUAAAGCAACUCUUUCACUUCUGCAGGAUUGUCAAGUGGGAUGUCCAAACCUGAGAAACAGCUAUUUGGUUCUUUACUCUGCCCCUGAAUAGAGUCGGAGCUUCAGGCUUCAGGGAGGGACAAUUGCCAUCAAAAGUCGUCAUGCCCGGGAGCAGGUGUUGCUCAGAAUUGUGAAGACGUUAUGAACCCAGGUGACUUGACUCAAGAGUUACAACCCCACUAAUGAGAAGUGAUUUUUGGCCAUGUUGAAGUCAUGACCGGUUUCCCUGGGAAGUCAACAGAAGUUUGGCAGGUGCGUGAGCUCUGCAGGGCAGAGAGCAAGAGGAGAGGUGAGCUCAGAAGGUAAUCGUAAAAUUUGGACACCUCUCUGCAGCUUUAAUGACUCAAACCUAAAAUAGUACUCAGGGAAAGACAGAGUUUGGAAGAAUUUUGAAUUGGGAGUUGGCUAUUUUGGUUGUUUUCUUCUGAUCUGGAAACACUGGGGGAGGGGUGGUUCUUCUACUGAAGUAAACAGGAAUUGUACACAAAGCAGGACUCACAUAAGAGUGAAGGGAUGUCCUACCAAUGCCCACGAUGACCCACUAACAUCCAGAUUUCUACAGUGGAGUUCCCUGGCCUUUACAUAUCAGUGGGCAAGUCCAUGAGAAACAAUGUGGCAGGUGGACUAAGGAAAAAUGGAAGCAUGAUGUGGAUUUUCUUUUCUUUGCAUCUCUUUGUUUUGAACAUACUGCUCUUUAUCAAAAUGCCUUUCUUCAAUUUCCUCAGCCCAGCAGUUUGAAUAUUUGCAUGAAGUAGGCACAUAUCACUACAUAUGAACCAUGAAAUGUAUUUGAAAAUAAAUGUUUUAAUUAAAAUUGACAUUUCUGAG
RNAcentral lists this long non-coding RNA (1249 nucleotides) under Homo sapiens (human). RNAcentral's name for it is "HSALNT0377228". The record is from RNAcentral. Lineage: Eukaryota; Metazoa; Chordata; Mammalia; Primates; Hominidae.